UACGGGGGGGGCAAGCGUUGUUCGGAAUUACUGGGCGUAAAGCGCGCGUAGACGGUUUUGUAAGUCAGAUGUGAAAUCCCUGGGCUCAACCUGGGAACUGCAUUUGAGACUGCAUGGCUAGAGUAUCGAAGAGGGAAGUGGAAUUUCCGGUGUAGCGGUGAAAUGCGUAGAUAUCGGAAGGAACACCAGUGGCGAAAGCGACUUCCUGGUCGAAUACUGACGUUCAUGUGCGAAAGCGUGGGGAGCAAACAGG
Molecule: ribosomal RNA, 253 nt
Filed under: uncultured bacterium
Lineage: Bacteria
Description: partial 16S ribosomal RNA
Rfam family: Bacterial small subunit ribosomal RNA
Source: RNAcentral